Molecule: unclassified non-coding RNA, 1129 nt
Filed under: Melitaea cinxia (Glanville fritillary)
Lineage: Eukaryota; Metazoa; Arthropoda; Insecta; Lepidoptera; Nymphalidae
Description: misc RNA ENSMCXG00005012256.1
Source: RNAcentral
CUCUCUCAUAACCGCGAAGUUUGCGGGACAAUCCUGGGUUGAUCGUCGGAAGAGCUUCCUUGGUCUGCCUGCAGGUAGUUAGGUUUGUCCAAUAUUCUUGCUGGCUGCGCAGCCAUUUUCGACUGUAUUUAUGAGAUAUUUCUAUUCUCAAAUAUCAAUCUAAAAGUUGUAACUUAUUAUAGAGGAGAAAGAGGUCCCAACGGCCUAUUCUACCUCUUGGUUUUAAAGUAUAUUCUUAAUUUAUUUGCAAGAUAAAAUUAAUUCAUCGACAAUCGGUGAAACCGCAUCUAAAUAAUAUUAAAAACACUUUACUGUACUGUACCCUACCGGUGCAUACAGAUAAUAAGUAUAUAUUUACGCACACACUAAAGUGUAGGAAUAAUAUUUUUACAAUAAUAUUAACUUAAUUCCUAAAAUUACUUUAUAAGUUCAGUCAGAAGAAUAAUAAAUAUAUAUUUAAUUUCCGUUUAGAACCUUUAAACAUACAUCCAUAACUUAUGAUUAGCUAUGUAACAAAAUAAUGAGAUAUGAUAACAUAGGCAUACGUACGGUGGGAAAUUUGUCCCAUCCUUACUUGAAGCUAAUAAUUUAUAUUUUACAUUUUAUUAAGGAAAUUUAAGGUAGAUUUAGCCAAAACCUUCGCACGUUAUUAUUGGAGUAGUGUAGAUAGCGAAAAUGAAUGAAAGUAACAGGAAAUGUAAGAAAAAUAUAAAUUGCUACUACUUAACGAGCUUUACAUUUAUUUGUUUUUGCCCCACCUUUACAAAAUUCUAGAUAUGCCCAUGUAUGUAUAAAACAAAGUAAAUUUUGUAUGUUAUAGGUAAAAUGUUCCUCUAUAAAAUUCAAAGUCAUGCAAGAUUAUAAGCCAGUGGUUAUUGAUCUCAAAUACUGUUAUCAUCAAGCUCAAAGUUCUUUCUCUUGUAAUCUAUGUACGUUCAUGUAGGUACUUUUUUGUCUCUUUAAAAGUAUACAUGUUUAUAGCUUUUACACUAUUUGUGACGCCAUAAAAAUUACAUUAUUAAUUAUUUCUUGUUACCAAUUUUUAACCUUUUUUUGUGCCAUAUAUGUACAUCUGAUUUGUACACAAAUCUGUAUAUAUCAUAUCGUAAUAUCUAAGUCAAGUCACAUU